UACGUAGGGCGCAAGCGUUGUCCGGAAUUAUUGGGCGUAAAGAGCUCGUAGGCGGUCUGUUGCGUCCGCUGUGAAAACUCGGGGCUUAACCCCGAGCCUGCAGUGGAUACGGGCAGACUAGAGGUAGGUAGGGGAGAAUGGAAUUCCCGGUGUAGCGGUGAAAUGCGCAGAUAUCGGGAGGAACACCGGUGGCGAAGGCGGUUCUCUGGGCCUUACCUGACGCUGAGGAGCGAAAGCCAGGGGAGCGAACGGG
Molecule: ribosomal RNA, 253 nt
Filed under: uncultured bacterium
Lineage: Bacteria
Description: partial 16S ribosomal RNA
Rfam family: Bacterial small subunit ribosomal RNA
Source: RNAcentral